GGGGAGACGGGCCUCGCAGGGGGGCCCUCUGGCCAUUUCCCUGGACCGCAGUUACUAGGGUGCUCUGUCUUUGUGUAGAGCAUUCUCUAGCAAAAUGUCCAGGGUGUGUGGACCACCUGGGGAUCUCCAUUCCCACACACAGCAUCCUCUCCCACUGAGGCCAGACAUGGCAGUCCAUUAAGGGAACAGAUUCCAAAGAUAGGCAGCAGCUUUAUGGCCAGUCAGUGCUACAGUUAUUGGAGGACCCUCAUGAAGACUGAGCUGCAUAUCUGCUACCUACAUGUCAGGGGCCUUAGUCCAGCCUGUGUAUCCUAUUUGGAUGCAGUGACUUAUGAUGCUGUGCAUGUGAACUUUACUGGGGAAGAGUAGAAUUUGCUGGAUCCUUCCUAGAAGAGUCUCUACAAAGAUGUGAUGCAGGAAACCUACUUGGACCUCACUGUUAUAGGCCACACUUGGGAAGACUAUCAUAUUGAAGGACAUUGUCAAAGUUCCAGAAGACAUGAAAGGCAAUCUUCAUGUGCAAGCUGAUACACAUAGGCCUCUGAGGAAAUUUUAAUAUGUUCUGGAAGCUCUAAAGAAAAGCAAGAGUGCCGGGCAGUGGUGGAGGACACCUUUAAUCACAGCACUUGGGAGGAAGAAGCAGGCAGAUUUCUGAGUUCAAGACCAGCCUGGUCUACAGAACAUGUAAGACAUCGCAGAGGAGAGAAACCCUAUGAAUGUACUCAAUGUGGUAAAGCCUUUUCAUUUCCCAGUCAUCUCCAAUAUCAUAAAAGAAGACAUUCUGGAGAGAAGCCUUAUGAAUGUAAUCAAUGUGCUAAAGCCUUUGCAGAUCACACUGAGCUCCAAAGCCAUCAAAGAACACAUACUGGAGAGAAACCUUAAGAACACAAUCAAUGUGUAGAACCUAUUCACAAGGGAGACGUCUCCAAAGACAAAAGAAGACAUUCUGCAGAGAGACCUUAUGAAUAUAACCAAUGUGGUAAAAGCCUUUUCACAAAGUUCUUGUCUUUAAAAACAUAAAAGAACCCAUAUAGGACAGAAACUUUAUGAAUGUAAUCAAUGUGCUAAAGCUUUUGCAUAUCUCAGUAGUCUUCAAAACAUAAGCGAUCCCAUACUGGAAAGAAAUGUCAUGAAUGUAAUCAAUGUGUAAAGACCUUUUACAACUUUGUAGUCUCCAGUAGUAUAAAAAGAAUUUUUAAAAAAUCAGAUACAGGAGAGAAACCGUGUGAAUGUAAUCACUGCUGUAAACCCCUUUCCUGUUGCAGUUAUCUGCAACAACAUAAGAGAAUACAUACAAGAGAGAAACCUCAUGAAUGUUAUCAAUGUGGUAACGUCAUUUCAUGUCAUAGUUCUUUACACAUAUACAAGCACAUACUGUAGAGAAACUGCAUGAAUAUUAUGAAUGAGGUAAACCCUUUCCAGAACACAGUCAUCUCUGAAUACAUAAAAGAAAAUGUACAGGAGAGAAACCUUAUGAAAAAAAUAAAUGUGAUAAAGCCUUUGCCUAUCACAGUCAUCUCCAAAUACAUUAAUAAGCACAUAGUGGAAAGAAGCCCUAUGAUUGUAAUAAAUGUGUUAAAGUCUUUGC
RNAcentral lists this long non-coding RNA (1588 nucleotides) under Mus musculus (house mouse). RNAcentral describes it as "predicted gene, 40987". Lineage: Eukaryota; Metazoa; Chordata; Mammalia; Rodentia; Muridae. The record is from RNAcentral.